AGGAUAAACGCUGGCGGCGUGCCUAACACAUGCAAGUCGAACGUCUCUUCUUUCGGGAAGAGGAGUGGCGGACGGGUGAGGAACACGUGGGAACCUGCCCUUUAGUGAGGAAUACCGGCGAGAAAUCGCCGACAAGACCGCAUAGCCCUCUUUGAUGAGAGUCAAAGAAGGAAAGCUUCGCAAGAGGCGCUAGAGGAGGGGCCUGCGUCCGAUUAGCUAGUUGGUGGGGUAAGAGCCUACCAAGGCGUCGAUCGGUAGCUGGUCUGAGAGGACGAUCAGCCGGAUUGGGACUGAGAUACGGCCCAGACUCCUACGGGGGCAGCAAUUAGGAAUCUUGCGCAAUGGGGGCAACCCUGACGCAGCGACGCCGCGUGCGGGAUGAAGGCAUUCGUGUCGUAAACCGCUUUUACGGGGAAGAAGAAUUUGACGGUACCCGUCGAAUAAGCCCGGCUAACUACGUGCCAGCAGCCGC
This 472-nucleotide ribosomal RNA is filed under the name uncultured bacterium. RNAcentral describes it as "SSU rRNA". It matches the Rfam family "Bacterial small subunit ribosomal RNA", at positions 26 to 518 of the family's 1533-position model. The record is from RNAcentral.